Molecule: small nuclear RNA, 107 nt
Organism: Heterocephalus glaber (naked mole-rat)
Lineage: Eukaryota; Metazoa; Chordata; Mammalia; Rodentia; Bathyergidae
Source: Ensembl
GUGCUCACUUUGGCAACACAUAUACUAAAAUUGGAACAAUACAGAGAAAAUUGGCAUGGCCCCUGGGCAAGAAUAACAUGUAAAUUCAUGAAGCAUAAUAGCUAAAG